Long non-coding RNA from Meriones unguiculatus (Mongolian gerbil), 2350 nucleotides. RefSeq lists it as uncharacterized. The record is from RefSeq and is a predicted model, not a curated record. The transcript has 7 exons. Lineage: Eukaryota; Metazoa; Chordata; Mammalia; Rodentia; Muridae.
AGCCUAAUCGCAGCCCUAUCCCUCUGCUCCUCCCACGCCCACCUCAUAUCUCUCCCCUUCAUUCCCCCUCCCCUCUUCUCAGGGAAGGGGAGCCCCCCUUGGGUACCAACCCACCCUGGCACAUCAAGUCAUCUGCACCCCUUCUUAGCACCCCCCCCAAAUAAUUUGAGAAGGGAGGCACUGGCUAGUGGGUGUCUGGUCCCCAAGGCCCAGGCCUCCUGCGGCAACCCAGCUCCCAGGAGCUGCAGGACGAGCUGAGCGGGACAGGGCGGCGUGUGGGUACUCACCUCAGGUAGUUGAGGAAAAGAAAGGCAUCAGAAGCAGUUUAUAUUUUCAUUCACUUUCCCUUUGGGGCUAUGUUACCUCUCCUACUGUCUACCAUAUUGCAAUUUAAUGAAAUCUGGAUCAUUUGGGCCUCCUACAAAGAAUCACAUUCACUUCCUAAACUGGUCAUGUGUGCAGACUUGUUCAUAAUCAGAAGAGUCUAUGAAACUGAAUCCUGUGAAUGACCUGGACCUGCUGGCUUUUCGUCUGUCUUGGGUUAAGAGAACACGAAGCCUGUUAGCAAGGCUCUCCAAAGCCCAGAGAUCAUUCAGCUGCUUUUCCUCAGUUCUGCAGAUGCACUAUGGUCAAGUUGGGCUCUGCUUGCAAAGAGGGUGAAGACAGACGUGAAGACGGGGAAAUGUGAACAGUUCCACCCACCCCCACCACCACCUUAUAUUCUCAUCUCAGGGAAUCCAGCAGGCCUGCCUCCACACCGACACUAGGAGUCUUCAUUCUGUAAAUAGUGAUUUGCUGAGCAUAUUUUGCUUGAUUCAUCAGUCAUAAGUACCUAUGUCAUGAGAUGAACAUAAUGAUGGUACACAACAAGGAUGCAACAUGUACAAGAAAUUUACAUGUCCUGACAUUUAAUAAAUGGAUAAAAUAAUACCAGGAGCUGCCGAGAUUAGUGAAGACUCAUAUAAACAUGUCUACCACACACAGAAGAGCAGACAUUCUCCCGCUUUUGACCUCCCCCUUUAUUUCAGCACCCGCUGGCCACUCAGAAUCUGUGUUGGGAAGGGGCUCACAAUCGUCUCAGUGUCUCUGCAUUGAUUCAUGCAAAGAUAAAUUAACAUCAUGCCUACUGACAGUGUGGGCAUGCAGUCAGAAUGCCUAGCUCGUGAGGCACCGUGCUACUGACUUGUCAACACCUUGGAACCCUUUCCAAAGCUUGCACCAUGACUGUCUCGGCCUGCUCCAGCCCUGCCACUUAUGCAGCAAACGCUUUGUCCUUUAGCUUUGAAAAUUCUUUCCAGGGCCAGUGAUAUGCCUCAAAGGAUGAAGACAUUUGACCACCACGUCUGCCCACUUGAGUUUGAUCCUCAGGAGCCAUAUGGUAGAAGAAAAUCAACUCUGGCAAGCAGCGCUCUGACCUAUUGGGGGCAGGGAAAAUAAAUAAAAUAUUAAAAUAUUAAAAUAAAAUAAAAUAUUAAAAUAUUCUUCAGGAAAAAAUGUGUAUAAUGAUAAAUACUCAUGAUGAAACAAGGAGGGAGUCUAUUACUUUGCAUGCUAACCUUAAAAAGUUAACUAAAUGGGGAAAGGAAUGAUGCUGUGGAUGGCUGAAUAUGGCUUACUAACUCUGUCAACUUUGGCUUUGAUGGUAACAGCUAAAUUCUCCAAGGUUUGGAACACUAAGUAGGUGAUAUAUCCAACUAUAGAGAUGCUCAGGACAGGGCAGAAAGUCUGAGGUUCUCUGCAAUGCCAAACUACUGCUGUAUCCUUACUCUCAAAUGCCUCUUCUCAACUCAGAGAGCUCUCCACACUUCACCCAGUGCCCUGUCUUCAUUGUACCCUAGAAAUCAUCUCAAGGUGUCCCACUGUGCAGCUUAGCUCACUGGUAACGAGUGUCUACGGUUUGGUACUUCACAGUAUCUUUUUGUGUGUUUUAUAAAAUAUUUGGUUAUUUGAUAAGGAUAUUACUGCUGCUAUUACUUCAUCAAAUCCAGAAAUUAAAAUCUCUUGUCCAUUUUUAAAAACUAUAUCUUUAGGACUGGCUGCAAAGUCCUCCUCUGUGUCCUAGCAGGACUGCUCCUCCCUUGGGUGGUGGGGAGGUACCUGAUAAACCAGGGUCAGAUGAAAGGGGAGGAGGUCCUCCCCAAUCAGUGGACUUUGAAAGGGGAAGGAAAGAGAUGAGGGAGGGAGGGUGGGAUUGGGAGGGAAUGAGGGAGCGGAUACAGCUGGGAUACAGAAUUAAUAAAAUGUAACUAAUAAUAAUAAAAAAAAACUGUAUCUUUAAAAUGAAAAAUUUAAAUGUGUCCUCCUCUUUCCCCUUUGCUAAUUUGUAUUCACACAAUAAAACUAUCUUCAA